UACAGAGGUCUCAAGCGUUGUUCGGAUUCAUUGGGCGUAAAGGGCGCGUAGGCGGCCACCGCAAGUCGGUUGUGAAAUCUCUGGGCUUAACCCAGAAAGGUCAACCGAUACUGCGGGGCUAGAGUGCAGAAGGGGCAACUGGAAUUCUCGGUGUAGCGGUGAAAUGCGUAGAUAUCGAGAGGAACACCUGCGGCGAAGGCGGGUUGCUGGGCCGACACUGACGCUGAUGCGCGAAAGCCAGGGGAGCGAACGGG
Molecule: ribosomal RNA, 254 nt
Filed under: uncultured bacterium
Lineage: Bacteria
Description: partial 16S ribosomal RNA
Rfam family: Bacterial small subunit ribosomal RNA
Source: RNAcentral